RNA transcript from Panicum virgatum (switchgrass), 2439 nucleotides. It is a transcript of the gene named double-stranded RNA-binding protein 2-like, with no coding region annotated. The transcript is spliced from 5 exons. The record is from RefSeq and is a predicted model, not a curated record. Lineage: Eukaryota; Viridiplantae; Streptophyta; Magnoliopsida; Poales; Poaceae.
AGGGCGCAGACAAGAAAGGCUCCCGAAAGCAACACGCCCCCUUCCCAAUCUCGUAAUCAUACCACUGCCGCGACUGUUACCCCACUAAUGCUCCCAGCUUAGCGGCAGGUAGAGAGCCAAGCAGAGGCUGCGUCGCAGCAGCCCGCGCCUCGAUCCCACGAACCCCACCUUUAUUUUAAGGGGCUGAUUGGUUCGUCUCCUCUGCUGGUUGCCUCUGUUCGAGCUGCAGAGGGAGAGGGAGGGAUCGAGGAGGACGAAUCAGAAAGGUGCUUGCAGGACAGUGGGUACAGCGGCAAUUAUUGUUUCAUCUUAUCUGCUGCAGCAAGUGGAAUCCAAGGGUUUACCAAACGCUGGGAGAGUAUGGGAAGAAGCUGCUAUCAAGUCUGAAGCUUAGCUUAGCACAUCAGUGUUGGAGGCAUGUAUAAGAACCAGCUCCAGGAGCUUGCUCAGAGGAGUUGCUUCAAUCUACCGUCCUAUGCAUGCAUCCGGGAGGGACCAGAUCAUGCGCCUCGGUUUAAGGCCACAGUUAAUUUCAAUGGAGAGACAUUCGAGAGCCCAGUGUUUUGUUCUACUUUGCGGCAGGCAGAGCAUGCAGCGGCUGAGGUAGCACUCAAUGAGUUAUCAAAGAGGGGGCCUUCAUCGACACUGGCUGCCAAAGUUCUGGAUGAAACAGGGAUAUACAAGAAUCUACUUCAAGAAACUGCUCAUCGAGCUGGUUUAAAACUUCCAGUGUACACUACUGUUAGAUCUGGGCCAGGUCACACACCUGUGUUCACAUGCACAGUGGAAUUGGCAGGAAAGACAUUUACUGGCAAUCCUGGCAAGACCAAGAAGCAAGCUCAAAAAAAUGCUGCAAUGGCUGCCUGGUCUGAACUGAAGCAAUUGCCCCGGGUAGGUGAGCCAUCGUUCUCAUCAUGUCCACUCGAUCGGGAUGAUGAGGAGCAUGAACAGGCCAUAGUUACUCGUACUCUUGCAAGCUUAAACCAGGCAAAUGGUGGUAAGAUGCCACAUCAAAAGGAAAAACAGCAAAGCAAUAACCGUCCUUCAUCACGAAGAUCUUAUCCUAAAUCAAAUCCUUCAUUCUACCGAUCACAUUUACCGAACCAGGCUUAUCCUAGUGUUCCACCGGAGCAAGCAAUGUACCAUAUGUGGCACCGGGUGCAAGCAACCCAACCAGCACCUAGUUUUCCAAUGGUACCAACUAUGGGUAAUACGAGGUUCCCACCACCAGCAGCUAUGCUCUCCAUGUACUCUUCACCUCGAGGGCAAUUCGCCACACCGGCCUGCCAAGAUGCACUAGGUCUUCUUCCAUGUUUUCCUGAAGGUGCUCCUGCCCUCCCAAGCUACUUCUCGCCUUACCCUGUCUCCUAUGUGCCAAGAAGUCCUGUGCCAGCUACUAUUCACAAAAUUCAUGAGAGAAGGCAAGAUCUUUCUGAAACAGUUGAGCUUCCUGAUGCCGUGGUCUUCUCCCAAUAUGGUGGUCCACACAAGUUUCAAGAAGCACCCAAAAAUGGGAAAGAAGACUGGACUGGUAGUAGUGCUUCCCCUGAGGAAGAAAUUAUUGCUCAUCUCAGUAUCUCAGGCUCAACCACACAUCCAUCAUCGCCAAUGUUGGAUCUGAAUGAAGAAAAAGAAACUUUGAGCAGUAAGCCAAAUAAGUCUCAAGAACAACAGCCGAAGUCAUCACCACCUUGGGUUAGCCCUUCAAUUCCCGCACACGUUUCUAUCCAGCGAAAGCAUUAUACUAGCUCUGUUCAGCAUGAUGAGCCCAUCCACAGAAAUGAUCCACCUCAAACGAGUCAGCCUUCGUUGCCAGAGUUGUGGUCUUCCCACUCAGCAGCUGCUACCAGAUCUGGAACUGCAGUCCCUGAAAAUUCACCAGGUCCUGUAUACCAGCAGCGACCUCCUUGGCUGGCUGCCCCUGUUACAGUCAGAACCGCCAUCCCAGUAUGUUCAGCUAGGCCGAACACGGUGAAUACAGCUUGUGGAGCAGCUCGAGUAAGACCGAUUGCCCAGAACCGCUUGGCCCUGGCUAGAGGUGAGCCAGAAACUCCCAAGAAUACGAAUAAUGGGGAAAGAGCCCUGAACAGGGAGCACCAAACUCAAUAAGCUCCAUGUCUGAGUCACAGUUUUGGUUCUGCUGAGCUAUAAGUUAGGUCUCAGAUUUGGCAGAAUCUCAGUUUAUGUUCCUCUUUUUCCCCCCCUUCUCAGUUAGGUACUGAACUCUUGAAAGAGUUGUGUGGGAGUCGUGCUUGCGGUCUCCACGCUGCCUUUAGAUUCUACAGAUAAUACCACGUCCUUAUCAAGAUAAAUUAAUGAGUUAUAAUAUAGAUAGAGAAUACAGUUUUUCCUUGUGUGCUGAAUGUUGAUUCCCAUUUUUUUUUUGCCAAUGUUGACAGAAUGCUGAAUUUUUGCAUGAGGGUUCAGUUUGCAUCUUUA